This 325-nucleotide ribosomal RNA is filed under the name Pseudo-nitzschia fraudulenta. Its description in RNAcentral is "partial large subunit ribosomal RNA". It matches the Rfam family "Eukaryotic large subunit ribosomal RNA", at positions 207 to 544 of the family's 3401-position model. Lineage: Eukaryota; Bacillariophyta; Bacillariophyceae; Bacillariales; Bacillariaceae. The record is from RNAcentral.
AGAGGGUGAAACUCCCGUCCGCCUGGUAGAAUGAGUCUUUGUCAACGGGUCAAGUUGUUUGGGAUUGCAGCUCUAAUUUGGUGGUAAAUUCCAUCUAAAGCUAAAUAUUGGUGGGAGACCGAUAGCGUACAAGUACCGUGAGGGAAAGAUGCAAAGAACUUUGAAAAGAGAGUUAAAGAGUACCUGAAAUUGCUGAAACGGAAGCGAAGGAAACCAGUGUUCGUUGGUUCAUAUUUCCUUGGCCACUUGUGGUUUGGGCGCUGUGAGCUUGCGUGGGUUUGGGUUGGUUGAUCCCUUUGGAAGAGCGCAGUCAGAGUUGAUGUCU